GACGAACGCUGGCGGCGUGCCUAAUACAUGCAAGUAGAACGCACAGUUUAUACCGUAGCUUGCUACACCAUAAACUGUGAGUUGCGAACGGGUGAGUAACGCGUAGGUAACCUGCCUGGUAGCGGGGGAUAACUAUUGGAAACGAUAGCUAAUACCGCAUAAUAUUGAUUAUUGCAUGAUAAUUGAUUGAAAGAUGCUAUUGCAUCACUACCAGAUGGACCUGCGUUGUAUUAGCUAGUAGGUGAGGUAACGGCUCACCUAGGCGACGAUACAUAGCCGACCUGAGAGGGUGAUCGGCCACACUGGGACUGAGACACGGCCCAGACUCCUACGGGAGGCAGCAGUAGGGAAUCUUCGGCAAUGGACGAAAGUCUGACCGAGCAACGCCGCGUGAGUGAAGAAGGUUUUCGGAUCGUAAAGCUCUGUUGUAAGAGAAGAACGGGUGUGAGAGUGGAAAGUUCACACUGUGACGGUAUCUUACUAGAAAGGGACGGCUAACUACGUG
Molecule: ribosomal RNA, 505 nt
Filed under: uncultured bacterium
Lineage: Bacteria
Description: partial 16S ribosomal RNA
Rfam family: Bacterial small subunit ribosomal RNA
Source: RNAcentral